Sitophilus oryzae (rice weevil) is the source of this 606-nucleotide long non-coding RNA. RefSeq lists it as uncharacterized. NCBI's taxonomy places the organism in Eukaryota, Metazoa, Arthropoda, Insecta, Coleoptera, Curculionidae. The transcript is spliced from 3 exons. The record is from RefSeq and is a predicted model, not a curated record.
UGCUUCCCAGGCGCUGUUCAGUUCCAGAACCUUCGAGGCCACUUGGAACAGUUUGCAUUCAACAAAGAAUGGAGUAUCACUAUCUUUUUGAUGAUUUGUAUGGUGAAAAAGCUGUUAUAAUAGUUCUGGAAGUAUGUAUGUUUUCUGAUGAUAAACCUUAUGGGUUAUAUAAGACAACACUGUUUGCUAGUGAAGAAGAAUAUGAUGAAUGCCAGUACAGAGUAUAGAUCCUUAAAUUCCAAAGAAACCAGUCAGAUCUGUGGUAUAAUUCUUGAUUUAGGAGAAGAACACUUUUGGAUACAAUGAGUGAAACGAUGGGGGUGCCUAGAAGAGAUCAGAACAGAGACUACGAAGAAAAUUGUAAAAAGAAGCAAACAAGUGAAUUUUCACAAGUGACACUUCCAUCAGGACUGAGACUCAUAACGAGAUUUAACCAGGUUAGUACUAGGCCUAGUUUAGAUGUAGUCCGUUUUCGCGAGUGACAGUGAAGACAUGGGGCCCUCUUAAUAAGCCUGAGUGUUAUUUUCGGUCAUAGUUUUCGUUUAUUAUAAACAUUGUUGAUUUUUCAUUUAUCCCUAGGUGUGAGUCGAACUUUAAGGGGGCUAA